This is an RNA transcript of Daphnia pulicaria, 3141 nucleotides long. It is a transcript of the gene named ATP-dependent Clp protease proteolytic subunit, mitochondrial-like, with no coding region annotated. NCBI's taxonomy places the organism in Eukaryota, Metazoa, Arthropoda, Branchiopoda, Diplostraca, Daphniidae. The transcript has 9 exons. The record is from RefSeq and is a predicted model, not a curated record.
AGCCAUCUAGCGUGAAAAUUUCAACCACUUGUAGUUUUCGUUUUGUAACAUUUUAAGAUCUAUCAAAACAACAAGGAAAACUUCCAACCUACAAUGCUGACUAAAUCUUUAAUAAAAUGCGUGACGGGAAGUACUCGUUUAUUUCAUGCCAGUGCACAGCUCACGUAUCCUUUAGUACCCAUUGUCAUUGAACAAACUGGACGAGGAGAACGGGCUUAUGACAUUUAUUCUAGGUUGCUAAAAGAAAGAAUCAUAUGCGUUAUGGGGCCGAUUACAGAUGACUUGUCUAGUCUAGUUGUUGCUCAAUUGCUGUUCCUUCAGUCAGAAAGCAACAAAAAGCCAGUUCACAUGUACAUAAACAGUCCAGGUGGUUCAGUAACAGCAGGAUUGGGUAUUUAUGAUACAAUGCAAUAUGUUCUUCCACCAAUUGCCACCUGGUGUGUUGGGCAAGCUUGUAGUAUGGCCAGCCUUCUGUUAGCGUCAGGAUCCCCAGGAAUGAGAUACUCACUGCCAAAUUCUCGAAUCAUGAUCCAUCAACCAUCUGGUGGUGUUCAAGGACAAGCAACAGAUAUUCAAAUCCAAGCAGAAGAAAUUAUGAAACUGAAAAAGCAGAUAAAUCAGCUAUAUGGCAAACAUACUGGCUUGCAGUUGUCUGUAAUAGAGAGCAACAUGGAGCGUGACAAGUUCAUGUCACCAGCAGAAGCCAAAGAAUUUGGCUUGAUUGAUAAGAUCUUAGAACAUCCACCAAAACAUGAACACUUGGCUGCUAAUAAGGAUGAAAAGACUGAACCAAAGUUGUAAAUGUGCUGUUAUUAAAGAAUAUUUUCCACAUCUUGUUAGCAGAUCAUGGGCCUAUCCAGCUGUCGAGAGAUGGUAAGUAAUACGUCGGUGGUGCUAGAGACGCCGAUUCAUCUCAUCUGUGCCUCUUUAAUGUUUUGAUAACAUGAGAGCAUACCUUCCUCUUGAGUCACCAGAAGAAAUUAAUUGACGGCAACAGUUGGUAACAUGAUUUGUGUAGUUAGAAGAGUAGAAUCGCAAUUUUUAAACAUCAUUAAAAUGCGUCGCGUAACAACAUCGAGGAAAGGUAAAUGGAGAUAAGUUUGAACCACAAUCGUGCUGCAAGAAUCGGAACCCAUUUGUUAGCGGAUGAAGAAAGGGGGGAAAAAACCCCGUGGUGUCAUUGGGCAAAAGGGACGACAGGUGAGUACCAGUCCAAAAAGGCAAUUGAUGAUAGAGCCCUGUUUCCAGGAAUUCAACACGCCUACCUACACACAUCCUUCCGCCCUCCCCUUUAACUCUUUUGCUUCCUUUCAGUUAUAACAAUGAAGGCACACAUGUCUGACACCCCCCACCUGGAGCGCCCUACCCUUUUUUCCGAGAAUUCCGCAGUCCCCUCCCUUUCUAUUAUUUAGGUGGUUCGUUUUCGUUUCUUUCAUAGCAGUUAAUCCCUCCCCUUUCCUCUAUCCAGAUUAAUGGUUUAUUCCAAGGUGUUAUAGUUCAACGACAAAAAUUAAACAUCAUUUGAGAAGCUCCUACUAGGCUUGUGGUGCACCCUGCGCCCAAGCGAUGCAGGACGAAUACUCCAAGUAGGUUAACCCACCGCGCACAAGAGAUCCUUUCCCUAUUCGACGCCGUCAGUCAGUGAUGUUGGAGCGGCUGUCCAACACGAGCCAGAUGUAACUUUCUCCGCUCUUUUCUUAAAACCCAUCAUUUGAAUUCCACGAUCUUCAUUCAACCCAAAAGUACAAGCUUAAAAUGGCCCAAUCGCAUACGUCCUGGGGUAUACGAGGUCGACGGGAACUUUUAAGCUGGGAUGGAAGUAACAGCAGCAGUAGCACUAACCAGCCAUCCAGCAGUCCAACGGAACGCCCAAUCACUCCAUCAGUUAUCGAAGUCGUUCACCCUGAUGGGAAUUGUUCCUGGUGUGGAGCGAGCGAGAUCGGAGAUGGCGGUGUUCGAGGACACGUCGAAACCCAGGGAUCUGGUCCUGCAAAAGUGUUUUGUUCAGAUAUUUGCUUUUCGCAAUGUCGACGGGCGGCCUUUAAGCGGGCAAAGGUCUGCGAUUGGUGCAAACACGUUCGACAUACCGUCAGCUAUGUCGAUCUCCACGACGGCCAGCGCCAAUUGCAAUUCUGCACCGACAAGUGCCGUAACCAAUAUAAAAUGAGGCUUUUUGUUGCCGAGGCCAGCUCAUUGGGCGUACAAAGUUGUGCCACACCCGGCUCAAAGGGUGAGACUUCGCCCGGUACCUCGAUCGAUCUAAAAAAACAGUCGACAGGUAUAUUAAUCACGCCGGAUUUGUGGCUCUCCGACUGCCAGCUCGAUAAUCCGAUCAACGUUAAACUUGAAUGCAAUGAAGAAACCGAAUUAGCUUCAUUUGACUCUGAACCUGAAGAAAAAAACUGCGAAAUCCCGCUGAAUCUAGUCCACUCUUCACGUCGCAGUGACCAACCAGUCAAAAGAAAACCGAAUCUAGUCGAAAUUCCUUUGUCGAAAAAAGGUAAGAGUCACCGAAAACAUCAUUCGAGUAGUCAUCAACAUAAAACGUCGAUUUACACGCGGAACCUGAUUCCACCACCCCCGCCGACUCUGCCAUGCCCAGCAACAACAUGGCCAUCUUUUCCUUAUCCACCACAUAUGGUCCCAUCGUACAUUCUACAGUCACAAUUCUUGGCUUUAAAUCGUUCACUUAAACCACCAAAGAAUCCCUGCGUGCGUUCUACUGAUCGCGAAGACCAAAUUUCAUUUACGCCCGUAAUCGAAUCCAACAAAAUGCCAUCCGAACCUGCCGUAGAGCAAUCAUCGACGAAAGUCACCAAACCGCCUGAUGAGAGGACGGCAGAAGCCAUCAAUGAAUCUACUGAAAAUAAACAAGAAAUAAAUCAUACAAAAUUGUUGACUCCAGAGAUUCCUCCCAAUGUUGUUGUUCUGCGCAUCCCGUAUCUGAUCCCGCUACCCAUUCCUGUCCCCAUACCUAUCCCUUUGAACAUACACGAAAAGUAUCUUAAACACGUUUUAACGUGAAUUCGUCCGUCCUGACGCCCAUCGUAACGAUCUCAUCAUGCAUAUAGUUUCCGUAGUCUCAAGUAUAAACUGUGUCUGUGUUUUGGGAAAUGUUUCUCUCAAAUAAAUUAUUGUUCA